GCAAGUCGAACGGUAACAUGAGAGCUUGCUCUUGAUGACGAGUGGCGCACGGGUGCGUAACGCGUAUACAAUCUACCUUUUACAGGGGGAUAGCCCAGAGAAAUUUGGAUUAAUACCCCAUAGUAUUGAGAAUUGGCAUCGAUUUUCAAUUAAAGAUUUAUCGGUAAGAGAUGAGUAUGCGUUCUAUUAGCUAGUAGGUAAGGUAACGGCUUACCUAGGCAACGAUAGAUAGGGGCCCUGAGAGGGGGAUC
This 251-nucleotide ribosomal RNA is filed under the name uncultured bacterium. Its description in RNAcentral is "partial 16S ribosomal RNA". It matches the Rfam family "Bacterial small subunit ribosomal RNA", at positions 57 to 305 of the family's 1533-position model. The record is from RNAcentral.